GAGCCCGUUGGUCAAGCGGUUAAGACACCGCCCUUUCACGGCGGUAACACGGGUUCGAAUCCCGUACGGGUCA
Molecule: transfer RNA, 73 nt
Filed under: Bacillus subtilis
Lineage: Bacteria; Bacillati; Bacillota; Bacilli; Caryophanales; Bacillaceae
Description: tRNA-Glu
Rfam family: tRNA
About the family: Transfer RNA (tRNA) molecules are approximately 80 nucleotides in length. Their secondary structure includes four short double-helical elements and three loops (D, anti-codon, and T loops).
Source: RNAcentral